Molecule: non-coding RNA, 21 nt
Filed under: Caenorhabditis elegans
Lineage: Eukaryota; Metazoa; Nematoda; Chromadorea; Rhabditida; Rhabditidae
Source: RNAcentral
UGGUUGAUGAGGUUAGUGAGU